GACGAACGCUGGCGGCGUGCUUAACACAUGCAAGUCGAACGGAAAGGCCCUGCUUUUGUGGGGUGCUCGAGUGGCGAACGGGUGAGUAACACGUGAGUAACCUGCCCUUGACUUUGGGAUAACUUCAGGAAACUGGGGCUAAUACCGGAUAGGAGCUCCUGCUGCAUGGGGGGGGAUGGAAAGUUUCGGCGGUUGGGGACGGACUCGCGGCUUAUCAGCUUGUGGGUGGGGGAGUGGCUUACCAAGGCUUUGACGGGUAGCCGGCCUGAGAGGGUGACCGGCCACAUUGGGACUGGGAAACGGCCCAGACUCCUCCGGGAGGCAGCAGUGGGGAAUUUUGCACAAUGGGCCGAAGCCUGAUGCAGCACCGCCGCGUGCGGGAUGACGGCCUUCGGUUUGUAAACCGCUUUCGCCUGUGACGAGGCGUUAGUGACGGUAAUGGGUAAAGAAGCACCGGCUAACUACGUG
Molecule: ribosomal RNA, 468 nt
Filed under: uncultured bacterium
Lineage: Bacteria
Description: partial 16S ribosomal RNA
Rfam family: Bacterial small subunit ribosomal RNA
Source: RNAcentral